This 429-nucleotide ribosomal RNA is filed under the name Bacteroidota bacterium. RNAcentral describes it as "Bacteroidetes bacterium partial 16S ribosomal RNA". It matches the Rfam family "Bacterial small subunit ribosomal RNA", at positions 355 to 776 of the family's 1533-position model. Lineage: Bacteria; Pseudomonadati; Bacteroidota. The record is from RNAcentral.
UAGGGAAUCUUCGGCAAUGGGGGGAACCCUGACCGAGCAACGCCGCGUGAGUGAAGAAGGUUUUCGGAUCGUAAAGUGCUGUUGUUAAGGAAGAAAGAGUGUGAGAAUGGAAAGUUCAUGCUGUGACGGUACUUAACCAGAAAGGGACGGCCAACUACGUGCCAGCAGCCGCGGUAAUACGUAGGUCCCGAGCGUUGUCCGGAUUUAUUGGGCGUAAAGCGAGCGCAGGCGGUUAGAAAAGUCUGAAGUGAAAGGCAGUGGCUCAACCAUUGUAUUCUUUGGAUACUGUUUAACUUGAGUGCAGAAGGGGAGAGUGGAAUUCCAUGUGUAGCGGUGAAAUGCGUAGAUAUAUAGAGGAACACCGGUGACGAAAGCGGCUCUCUCAUCUGUAACUGACGCUGAGGCACGAAAGCGUGGGGAGCGAACAGG